This 763-nucleotide ribosomal RNA is filed under the name uncultured Streptococcus sp. RNAcentral describes it as "bacterial SSU rRNA". It matches the Rfam family "Bacterial small subunit ribosomal RNA", at positions 28 to 776 of the family's 1533-position model. Lineage: Bacteria; Bacillati; Bacillota; Bacilli; Lactobacillales; Streptococcaceae. The record is from RNAcentral.
GACGAACGCUGGCGGCGUGCCUAAUACAUGCAAGUAGAACGCUGAAGGAGGAGCUUGCUUCUCUGGAUGAGUUGCGAACGGGUGAGUAACGCGUAGGUAACCUGCCUGGUAGCGGGGGAUAACUAUUGGAAACGAUAGCUAAUACCGCAUAAUAGUAGAUGUUGCAUGACAUUUGCUUAAAAGGUGCAAUUGCAUCACUACCAGAUGGACCUGCGUUGUAUUAGCUAGUUGGUGAGGUAACGGCUCACCAAGGCGACGAUACAUAGCCGACCUGAGAGGGUGAUCGGCCACACUGGGACUGAGACACGGCCCAGACUCCUACGGGAGGCAGCAGUAGGGAAUCUUCGACAAUGGACGGAAGUCUGACCGAGCAACGCCGCGUGAGUGAAGAAGGUUUUCGGACCGUAAAGCUCUGUUGUAAGAGAAGAACGAGUGUGAGAGUGGAAAGUUCACACUGUGACGGUAUCUUACCAGAAAGGGACGGCUAACUACGUGCCAGCAGCCGCGGUAAUACGUAGGUCCCGAGCGUUGUCCGGAUUUAUUGGGCGUAAAGCGAGCGCAGGCGGUUAGAUAAGUCUGAAGUUAAAGGCUGUGGCUCAACCAUAGUACGCUUUGGAAACUGUUUAACUUGAGUGCAAGAGGGGAGGGUGGAAUUCCAUGUGUAGCGGUGAGAUGCGUAGAUAUAUGGAGGAACACCGGUGGCGAAAGCGGCUCUCUGGCUUGUAACUGACGCUGAGGCUCGAAAGCGUGGGGAGCAAACAGG